Molecule: small nuclear RNA, 196 nt
Organism: Euleptes europaea (tarantolino)
Lineage: Eukaryota; Metazoa; Chordata; Lepidosauria; Squamata; Sphaerodactylidae
Product: U2 spliceosomal RNA
Exons: 1
Source: RefSeq, a predicted model, not a curated record
AUCGCUUCUCGGCCUUUUGGCUAAGAUCAAGUGUAGUGUGGAAGCUACAAGUUUAACAGAAUUCCAAAUGGUUGUAGAAAUGAAUUUCUUAUUCCCAACCAGAACGUUGCAGAUGUAAUACUCUAGCAUGGAUUGUUAAUUGUUACAGCAAUAGAAUUUUUUUUUUAUUCUACUGAAAUCAUAUUGGUGACCACUU